GGGUUGUGAGGUUAAGCGACUAAGCGUACACGGUGGAUGCCCUGGCAGUCAGAGGCGAUGAAGGACGUGCUAAUCUGCGAUAAGCGUCGGUAAGGUGAUAUGAACCGUUAUAACCGGCGAUUUCCGAAUGGGGAAACCCAGUGUGUUUCGACACACUAUCAUUAACUGAAUCCAUAGGUUAAUGAGGCGAACCGGGGGAACUGAAACAUCUAAGUACCCCGAGGAAAAGAAAUCAACCGAGAUUCCCCCAGUAGCGGCGAGCGAACGGGGAGGAGCCCAGAGCCUGAAUCAGUGUGUGUGUUAGUGGAAGCGUCUGGAAAGGCGCGCGAUACAGGGUGACAGCCCCGUACACAAAAAUGCACAUGCUGUGAGCUCGAUGAGUAGGGCGGGACACGUGGUAUCCUGUCUGAAUAUGGGGGGACCAUCCUCCAAGGCUAAAUACUCCUGACUGACCGAUAGUGAACCAGUACCGUGAGGGAAAGGCGAAAAGAACCCCGGCGAGGGGAGUGAAAAAGAACCUGAAACCGUGUACGUACAAGCAGUGGGAGCACGCUUAGGCGUGUGACUGCGUACCUUUUGUAUAAUGGGUCAGCGACUUAUAUUCUGUAGCAAGGUUAACCAAAUAGGGGAGCCGAAGGGAAACCGAGUCUUAACUGGGCGUUAAGUUGCAGGGUAUAGACCCGAAACCCGGUGAUCUAGCCAUGGGCAGGUUGAAGGUUGGGUAACACUAACUGGAGGACCGAACCGACUAAUGUUGAAAAAUUAGCGGAUGACUUGUGGCUGGGGGUGAAAGGCCAAUCAAACCGGGAGAUAGCUGGUUCUCCCCGAAAGCUAUUUAGGUAGCGCCUCGUGAAUUCAUCUCCGGGGGUAGAGCACUGUUUCGGCAAGGGGGUCAUCCCGACUUACCAACCCGAUGCAAACUACGAAUACCGGAGAAUGUUAUCACGGGAGACACACGGCGGGUGCUAACGUCCGUCGUGAAGAGGGAAACAACCCAGACCGCCAGCUAAGGUCCCAAAGUCAUGGUUAAGUGGGAAACGAUGUGGGAAGGCCCAGACAGCCAGGAUGUUGGCUUAGAAGCAGCCAUCAUUUAAAGAAAGCGUAAUAGCUCACUGGUCGAGUCGGCCUGCGCGGAAGAUGUAACGGGGCUAAACCAUGCACCGAAGCUGCGGCAGCGACGCUGAUGCGUUGUUGGGUAGGGGAGCGUUCUGUAAGCCUG
RNAcentral lists this ribosomal RNA (1219 nucleotides) under Escherichia coli. RNAcentral's name for it is "partial 23S ribosomal RNA". It matches the Rfam family "Bacterial large subunit ribosomal RNA", at positions 1 to 1251 of the family's 2925-position model. Lineage: Bacteria; Pseudomonadati; Pseudomonadota; Gammaproteobacteria; Enterobacterales; Enterobacteriaceae. The record is from RNAcentral.